This 433-nucleotide ribosomal RNA is filed under the name uncultured bacterium. Its description in RNAcentral is "partial 16S ribosomal RNA". It matches the Rfam family "Bacterial small subunit ribosomal RNA", at positions 29 to 507 of the family's 1533-position model. The record is from RNAcentral.
AACGAACGCUGGCGGCAUGCCUAACACAUGCAAGUCGAACGAGACCUUCGGGUCUAGUGGCGCACGAGUGCGUAACGCGUGGGAACCUGCCCUUAGGUUCGGAAUAACUCCCCGAAAGGGGUGCUAAUACCGGAUAAUGUCUUCGGACCAAAGAUUUAUCGCCUUUGGAUGGGCCCGCGUUGGAUUAGCUAGUUGGUAGGGUAAAAGCCUACCAAGGCGACGAUCCAUAGCUGGUCUGAGAGGAUGAUCAGCCACACUGGGACUGAGACACGGCCCAGACUCCUACGGGAGGCAGCAGUGGGGAAUAUUGGACAAUGGGCGAAAGCCUGAUCCAGCAAUGCCGCGUGAGUGAUGAAGGCCUUAGGGUUGUAAAGCUCUUUUACCCGGGAUGAUAAUGACAGUACCGGGAGAAUAAGCUCCGGCUAACUCCGUG